This 4788-nucleotide long non-coding RNA is filed under the name Nicotiana benthamiana. Its description in RNAcentral is "long non-coding RNA (NBEN_LNC041318)". The record is from RNAcentral. Lineage: Eukaryota; Viridiplantae; Streptophyta; Magnoliopsida; Solanales; Solanaceae.
GAGAAUGGAAAACGGGUUGGGCCAUAAAAAAUUCUCGGGCUAGAUGUAUAGCCUUAUUUCCGAAAAUAUUGGGCUCUCGUUGCCUAGCUGAAAUUGUUUAUUGGGCUGGCAAUAAAAUUCAAUUAGGCCGAACACAAUGAAAAUCAUAGUACUUUUCGGAACCGAAUUACAUAAACAACCAAAAUCAGAAACAAAACUAAUGCAUCAUCUGAUUAAAUCUUCAGCUCAAAACUCCUUUCCAGCGACUUUAAAUCCCUUCCUUAGCUUUGGAGCUUACCAGUCUAAUCAAUAGCAAACAAUUUUCACAUCCUCAAAUUAACAUAUUUGAUAUACAGAACACUAUAGUAGAGCUCCUGUUUAGACUAUUGCCAUGUCCGCGUGAUCUAAACAACAACUUCAACCUUAAAACCAAAAAUAUUUAAUAACUAAUGACUCAUAAAUCGAACAAAUGUUCCUAAAGAAAGAAAAAGAAAAGGAAAAGACAACAUGACAUUCAAAUAGAGCAUGUUAUAUCAACUACUAGAUACCAAUAGAUCAUCUCCAUUGUCUUAACACUCCAACCAUCGUACAAAUUAACAAAAGAUGAAAAAACUAAAAUAGAUUUAAGACUUUAAACAGGCUGGAAAUUCCAAGAGUAUAACAUAAACAAUGCAACUUCAUUUAUGCUCGAAUGUUUAAGAAAAACAACAUUUCAUUCAAGGCAACUCUACAAGGCAUACAAAAGUUUAGAAAAAAUACUUAGCAAAAGGAAAAACAACCAAAAGAAACAAAGGAAUCUACAGUUCCUAGCUCAACUCAGAAAAAACAAGCAAUGAAUAAACCCUAAAUUUCUGCUCCAACUUCUAAAACCCAACAAAAAGACCUCUAGAACAAAAGAAAGCUCAAAAUUUCUUAAAAACACUUAAGUAAAGUUUUCUGUGGGCUUAAUCAUUGGAAAAAUGAUAUUUUUGUAGAGGGGAUUUAGGACAGCCAAUUCUGAUUUUUAUAAAUCAAAAGUACCCUUUAAACUUCUGAUUUAAUCAACUUACACCUCUGUCCCAAAAUUAUCCCCUUCUUUUACUCUAAAUGAUCCUUGUCAGCUUUUAUCUAUAAGCUUCCUUUAACAACAUUCCCUCAAUCCCUAUCCAAUUUGAACCCUUGUAAUUAUUCCCUAUUUUACUCUUCUUACAUUUACCCUAAGUGAUAUUGGACCUAUGGUCCACUUAAGCCACAUGCCUAAUAUUUUACUUGGGCUUUUGCACUAACAGAACCCAAACAUAAAAUUAGCAUGUAAACCAAACAUACUUUUAUGAAGAAUUAAAUCAACAUCUGAUUAAAAAAAACUAAUGAUGUAUCUUUUAAGAAAACUAUAUAUUAUGAAAGUAACUAUGCCUAAUUAUUGAGCUAUUAAUUACUGAUUAUGCAAUCACGCCCUAGAAAAAUAUUUUUAGACAUAAAAAAUAGGAUCAUAAUAGAGAUUACGAAGAAAUAAGAGGAGAGUUAUAUAUCGAUGGAAUGGCCAAAAGGCAAAAGCUAUUCAAUAGCUUUGAGAAAAAUAGCAGGAGCUUGAUUCGAACUUUGGAAAACAAAAAUGUCGGCCAAUUGCGUGAAUUUUAACAUGAAGUUUGGCGAACAUUGAAAGGCAACUACGUCAUUUUAGGUGAGUGGAGGUCUGACUGGGUAAGGGUUUUGGGCCUCGGUGGUUUGGACCAAUUUUUGGAUAUUGCCUCUUCCCUAUCCAAUUUCUUUUCUUAUUUCUAUUUCUUUGUAAUUUCUUUUUUUUUUCUUUAACUAAAACCCUAAAUUUAACUCCUAAAUUAACCUAAAUUGUAAACUUAAACUAAUUUAUCCAAUUAUAAUAUUUAUAACAAUUACUUGAUCCUAAAUUAAAAAGAAAAAUCACUAAUCUAAGAAUUAAAAACAACAAUGUAAAAAUGAGCAAUUUUUUGUGAUUUUCAUUUUCACAUCCUAUAAAAUGGCAAAUAAUUAGAAAAAUCUAUUUUCUUUGAUUUUAUAGGAGCAUUUUGUAUCGGGCAAAAAUCACAUGCUCACAGCUACCCCUCUUUGCUUGAAAAUACAAAGGGUUUUCAGAAAAAGAUAAAAUAAGCAAUUACGAGCGAUUUUGCCCAUUUGAAACUCCACGGGAAGCAUCUUUUGAGAUGAGAAGCUCCUAAAUGUGACCUCAACAGCAGUCGCAAAUGCGAAGCUUGACCUCGCUUUUGCAAGAUCUAAGGCCAACAAAACAGCUGAAGAAUACCAGCAACUUUUUUAAGAUUCAAAUCACUCUGUAGCCUAUCCGAAACUCACUUCGGCCCCUCGGCGCUCCAAUUCAAAUAUGCAUAUAAGUCUUAAAACAUCAUACAAACAUUCUCAUCCAAUCAAAUUGCUAAAAUAACAUCUAAAACUAUGGAUUUAAUACCAAAACACAUCAAAUUCUUAAGAACACUUUGAAAUUCCUAUUUUCACAAUCGGACAUCCGAAUCACGUCAAAUCAACUUCGAUUUGCACCAAAAUUCACAAACAUAACUUAAAUAUUAUAUUAAACAUGUACCGAGCUUUGGAAAAAAAAAAUACGGGCAUGAUACCAAGGAGAUCAAACAUUAAUAAAUUUAUUUAAAUCAUUAGAUUUUUAGUCUUACAAUUUUUAACAAAAAUUCAUUACUAGGGACCUCCGAAUUCGAUUCUACGCAUACGCCCAGGUUCCAUAUUUUACUCUGGACCCACCGGGCCAGUCAAAACACUGGCUUUAUUCAAAACGAUGACUGAAAUCAACUAUAGUCAAUUUUAAAGGAUAAAGUUAUUAUUUUUCUCAAAUUUCCACAUAAAAGCUUCCCAGAAAUACGCCCGGACUGUGCGCACAAAUUGAGAGGAAUAAAAAUAAGUUUUGAAGGCGUUGAAACACCGAGUUGGGUUUUAAAAUUAAGGAUGACUUUUUGUCAUCACAUUCUCCACCUCUAAAAUAACCGUUUGUUCUCGAACAGACAUGGAACACUACAAGAAAAAUAGCCUUUAAACCGUGAAAUCUUGAAUGCCUAUGGAUGUUGCCCGUAAAUAGUUAUAAGAUUGUUAGAUAUGAUAUAAUAUAAAUACUAAUAAGUCACAAAGUUUAUUUUAAAAAAGACUGGUAAGAAAAAUUCAUUGGUCAAAAUAAAUAAUAUUUGACCUUCAAAAUCGAAGUAAAGUACUAUUGGGAUAGAAGAAAUUUUCUAGCAUGACAGAAAAACAGGGCUUAUUUUACUAGCCUGUAGAAAGUUGAAGAGUAUGCACAUUAACAGCAACCAGAGUGAAAGUUAGAAGAACUUCACAUUUCAGGAUGUUUUUUCCAGAACAUCUAAGGGUAGAUAUAUAAAGCAAUAUAAACACUUGAAAUCGCAUAAAUAUUAUUGUUCCAUAAUAGAACUUGAAAAACAGAACUUUUCAUGCUUUUCUUCGGAUAACAAUUUGCAAUUAACUUUGAAGAGAAGUAAAUAGAACUUUUCAAGCAUUUCUUCUCGACACUAGAUAAUAAUCUAUAGACCUUUUAUCGUGGAUGUGUGUACAUUUACAAAAGAUUAUUACAGACAGAAAUAUUGAAUUUGUUACCCGAUAACUAACACAUAAAGUCAUGUUUUAACGUACAGAAUUCAUAAGGUUAAAAUCAUAGUUCCGCGCUCGAACACUCGAGGAGCGACUAGAAGAAGGAAAAGUAGCAGAGCUUGCUGCAGAGGAGAUAAGAAAAGGCUCAGCAGAGGGGGCCUGGUAACUGUUAUGAAUGUGGAGGAGUGGGGCAUUUUUCUCAUUACUGUUCCAAUGUUCAGACGGGAGCCGCACAGCACAUAGCUGGAAGUCAAAGGGCCCAUACUACCUGCCUAACCCUUCGCUCCGAGAGACUGGCCAAUUGAGCACAAGGGUGCAGUUGACUAUAUUAGACGUGAAGGUCAGGAUUUCUAUCUCAAUUCCUAGAGUGAAUAUAGUAAGGUCAGUCAAUGGAUUGGGUGUGAAUAUCACUCAAUUGGGUUGACUACUGUCAAAUUUCCUUCUUAAAUUCCUAAACAUAUCCAUAACAAAAGAAAAGAAGAGAAACUAAAGCAGUCUUGGAGCUACUUGAGAAAAUUGGUUUAGCAGCUACAGCUAUAGCUUGAUCUUGACCUGCAUUGUUUCGCAACUUGGCUACCUCAUUUGACCACAUAUCAACUAGCCCAGACAUUCUUCUUGUUCAAAUAUCUAUCAAUUUUUCAACUUAACAACGGAGAAAAGAAAAGGUAGUAGUAAUAUUUUUAUAGAUGCUCUUGUUUUGAUUGAAAGCAUCACAAGCCUGUGUUUAUAUACGGGUAUAACAUAUUAGAAGCUUUGUCCAAAGGCUCGUGGUCUCUGAUGACUACAUUAGGCUAAUCACUUUUUGCAUUUUUCUUGCAACUCCUUACCAUAUACCUUCCCCCAAACUAAAAACAUGAACAAAUGUGAAUGUACUUUUUCCCAUUUGAAUAUAAAUUUUUCAGACACAUAAGACACUACAAACAUGAAUAUAGUUAAGAGAAAUCAAAUUAUCAAAUUAGGAAUCCCAACCCAAUAAUCUUUCUAUUGAUUAAUGAAAAGGGGACGAAAUUAUGAAACCUUUUACCAAUUUGAUGUUAGAGAAGAAGGAGAAGAAGAACUUAGAGAAGAAAAAGAGCAACUCAGAAGAGGAGGCAUACCAGAGAUUCGCAAUGAGCGAGGUUGAAAACUAGGGUAGACCUGCCAUUCACCAACCAACAAAUUUGCAAGCUCUGCUUUGGAAAAACUCAGAUUUUGAGAGAUGGAUAGAGGGAGGCAGAGCUGCUUUGUGAUUUU